CCUGCCCACUGAUAUUAAAUUUAUAAUGGCCGCAGUUACCUUUGACUGUGCUAAGGUAGCAUAAUAAAUUGACUUUUAAUUCGGGGCCUUGAAUGAAUGGAUAAAUGGAUAAUUUCUGUCUCAAUAAAAAUUCUAUAAGUUACUUAAAAGGUGAAAAUUCCUUUAAAUAAAUUAAAUAGACGAGAAGACCCUAGGAGUUUUUAAUUUUGUUGGGGCGACAGUAUAGCAUUAUAACCUAUAUAUAAAUAUUUGUAUAAAACGAAUAAUUUUAAUAAUAAAUAAACUACCCUAGGGAUAACAGCAUAAUUUAAUUUUAAGUUUGUGACCUCGAUGUUGGACUAGGGACUUUUAAAGCUAACAGUGUUAAUUGAUAGUUCUGUUCGA
This 384-nucleotide ribosomal RNA is filed under the name Stanisicarion freycineti. Its description in RNAcentral is "partial 16S large subunit ribosomal RNA". The record is from RNAcentral. Lineage: Eukaryota; Metazoa; Mollusca; Gastropoda; Stylommatophora; Helicarionidae.